UCAUUCAAUAAGCGGAGGAAAAGAAACUAACAAGGAUUCCCCUAGUAACUGCGAGUGAAGCGGGAAAAGCUCAAAUUUAAAAUCUGGCAGUUUUACUGUCCGAGUUGUAAUCUGGAGAAGCAUUUUCUGUGUCGGACCGUGUACAAGUCUCUUGGAACAGAGCGUCAUAGAGGGUGAGAAUCCCGUCCAUGACACGGACUACCGAUGCUUUGUGAUAUGCUCUCGAAGAGUCGAGUUGUUUGGGAAUGCAGCUCAAAAUGGGUGGUAAAUUCCAUCUAAAGCUAAAUAUUGGCGAGAGACCGAUAGCGAACAAGUACCGUGAGGGAAAGAUGAAAAGCACUUUGGAAAGAGAGUUAAACAGUACGUGAAAUUGUUGAAAGGGAAACGCUUGAAGUCAGUCGCGUUGUCUGAGACUCAGCCUUGCUUGCAUGGUGUACUUCUCAGUUAACGGGUCAACAUCAAUUUUGGUUGGUGGAUAAAGGUAUUGGAAAUGUGGCACCUUCGGGUGUGUUAUAGUCCUUUGCUGCAUACACUGACUGGGAUUGAGGAACGCAGCACGCCAUUAUGGCCGGGGGUUCGCCUCACGUAACGUGCUUAGGAUGUUGGCAUAAUGGCUUUAAGCGACCCGUCUUGAAACACGGACCAAGGAGUCUAACAUGCUUGCGAGUGUUAGGGUGGAAAACCCUUGCGCGUAAUUAACGUGAAAGUUGGGACCCUUCGCGGGGGCACCGACGCCCGGCCCUGAAGUUUACUGACGGUGCUGCGGUAGAGCACGUAUGUUGGGACCCGAAAGAUGGUGAACUAUGCCUGAAUAGGGUGAAGCCAAGGGAAACUUUGGUGGAGGCUCGUAGCGAUUCUGACGUGCAAAUCGAUCGUCAAAUUUGGGUAUAGGGGCGAAAGACUAAUCGAACCAUCUAGU
RNAcentral lists this ribosomal RNA (919 nucleotides) under Xylodon quercinus. Its description in RNAcentral is "LSU rRNA". It matches the Rfam family "Eukaryotic large subunit ribosomal RNA", at positions 38 to 948 of the family's 3401-position model. Lineage: Eukaryota; Fungi; Basidiomycota; Agaricomycetes; Hymenochaetales; Schizoporaceae. The record is from RNAcentral.